GUGCUUACUUCAACAACACAUAUACUAAAAUUGAAAUGAUACAGAGAAGAUCAGCAUGGUCCCUUCACAAGGAUGACACACAAAUUCAUGAAGUGUUCCAUUAAAAA
RNAcentral lists this small nuclear RNA (107 nucleotides) under Sus scrofa (pig). The record is from RNAcentral. Lineage: Eukaryota; Metazoa; Chordata; Mammalia; Artiodactyla; Suidae.